UGGGGAAUUUUGGACAAUGGGCGAAAGCCUGAUCCAGCAAUGCCGCGUGUGUGAAGAAGGCCUUCGGGUUGUAAAGCACUUUUGUCCGGAAAGAAAUCCUUGGCUCUAAUACAGUCGGGGGAUGACGGUACCGGAAGAAUAAGCACCGGCUAACUACGUGCCAGCAGCCGCGGUAAUACGUAGGGUGCAAGCGUUAAUCGGAAUUACUGGGCGUAAAGCGUGCGCAGGCGGUUUGCUAAGACCGAUGUGAAAUCCCCGGGCUCAACCUGGGAACUGCAUUGGUGGCUGGCAGGCUAGAGUAUGGCAGAGGGGGGUAGAAUUCCACGUNUAGCAGUGAAAUGCGUAGAGAUGUGGAGGAAUACCGAUGGCGAAGGCAGCCCCCUGGGCCAAUACUGACGCUCAUGCACGAAAGCGUGGGGAGCAAACAGGAUUAGAUACCCUGGUAGUCCACGCCCUAAACGAUGUCAACUAGUUGUUGGGGAUUCAUUUCCUUAGUAACGUAGCUAACGCGUGAAGUUGACCGCCUGGGGAGUACGGUCGCAAGAUUAAAACUCAAAUGAAUUGACGGGGUCAU
RNAcentral lists this ribosomal RNA (574 nucleotides) under uncultured bacterium. RNAcentral describes it as "partial 16S ribosomal RNA". It matches the Rfam family "Bacterial small subunit ribosomal RNA", at positions 355 to 922 of the family's 1533-position model. The record is from RNAcentral.